AGUCCCGCUUUCUGAUAAUGUUAAUCACACUUAAACAUGUAAUCAAUGUACACUCUCGACAUAAUUUUGAUUGUACUUUGUGAUUUACUCUGGUUUAUUCACAGUUUUCACGGAGCCAAUAAAUACAUGUAGAACCUGAUGAGGCUUUUGUCGAAACCCUUGCAUUUCUAUGACCUGCGACCUAUGACCCACACCUGUGCGAUUCCCCAGCUGUAGCACUAGAAUUGAGGAGCUAUACCACCUGAAGUGCUGCCGCUACAGUGAAAACUCCUAGCUGCUAAAUGCAAUCAUCGCUCCUCUCCAUUUGAUGCCAGCACUGCUCAACUGAGGCUGCAGCAUUCAGAUGACCAGGCAUGCUGAGAGUUUGAGACUCCUCUGAUGUAGGCGUUGACAUCCAAGCAACUCCCGCCCACAUUUGACAUCUGACAUCUGAUGAAGAGCAGCCCCUCGCUGAGCCAGAACUCCUGUGAACUCUGAGCGUCUGGGAACAUGGAAUUAUGUGAACUGUUGAAUACAUGUCCAUUCAAUUGCCUAGUUUCAUUACCCCGUGAUAAUUUACAUACAUGUACAGUGAUUGCUGCAUUGAGUAUGUUUUCUUGGAUUUGUUAUGUUGUAAUGCUCGAGUAUAAACAUUUGUAUUACGACAUUUGCAGAUGUAUUUUCAGUAAUUUGAUAUGUUGCAAAUAGAUUGGUAUAUGUUCAUGUACACAUGCAGAUGAUAACAUGUUUACAGGCAUGUUGGAGAGUUUAAUCCAUUUGUUGGAAGUUUAAUAUUGAAAGGUAGUUUGAGAUUUUGCGACUGCAAUUCCUUAUACACGUACAUGUAUGCUAAAUGUAGUGUGUUUGACUAAGGUGGCCUAUAGAGGACCUUGUAUAUUGUUGCUUGUUCUCUUAAGAUUUUACAUGCACUACGUGUAAGUCACCUUGUACCGUUAUCAUGUCGUCAAAGGACAAAACAGAGAAGACUGAACCAGGUUCUCCAAGUACGCCAAUACCCUUUUCGAUUUCAACACCAACUACUUCCUACGGAGAUCAAGAAAUUGGUUCUGCAGCCACUUUAGAGUCGACUAUUGGAGACCAUCAGCUGAUGAAGAGGAAACAAGGGCACAUUCACGAGGCUGACACUAGAUCCGAACUAUCCGUUCGAACCAAGUCAUCACGCCGAACAUGUUCUUCCCAAUUGUCCAUGGUUUCCACAAAGGCUGCCCUUGCAGCCGAAGCAGCUGCUUUAAAGACACGGCUUCAGUACGCCGAUGCUGAAAAUGCAAAGAAGGCUGAACUAGAAAUGAAGCAUGCUGAGCUUGAAAAGCUACGCACCAUGCGAGACCUCCAGGUAACUGAAGCCAAACUGGAUGCUAUUUGUAGGGUGCAGCAAGAAGAAAAUGCUCAUCCCAGCAUUAGCGAAAUGGUGGAACCAGAAGAUAAAGACGUGAUGAUGGAGAAUUAUCUUGGAUCAUUUCAGACAUCAAAUCACAACUCUGAUGACUGCGUAGUCUCCGAAGGACUAACGACAACAGGGACACACGUCGUCCCAACUGCGACAACAGGGACACAUGUCGUCCCAACUGCGACCCUGGGCAUGCAACUUGCCCCAACUGCGACAACAGGGACACAUGUCGUCCCAACUACGACCUCGGGCAUGCAACUUGCCCCAACUGCGACUCCGGGCUCAUAUUUUGCGCCAACUGCGACAACAGGGACACAUGUCGUCCCAACUGCGACCUCGGGCAUGCACCUUGCCCCAACUGCGACUCCGGGCUCAUAUUUUGCCCCAACUGCGACAACAGGGACACAUGUCGUCCCAACUGCGACCCUGGGCAUGCACCUUGCCCCAACUGCGACAACAGGGACACAUGUCGUCCCAACUGCGACCUCGGACAUGCACCUUGCCCCAACUGCGACUCCGGGCUCAUAUUUUGCCCCAACUGCGACAACAGGGACACAUGUCGUCCCAACUGCGACCUCGGGCAUGCACCUUGCCCCAACUGCGACUCCGGGCUCAUAUUUUGCCCCAACUGCGACAACAGGGACACAUGUCGUCCCAACUGCGAUCCCGGGCAUGCAACUUGCCCCAACUGCGACAAUAGGGACACAUGUCGUCCCAACUGCGACCCCGGGCAUGCAACUUGCCCCAACUGCGACAACAGGGACACAUGUAGCCCAUCCUGCGACCCCAGGUAUCCAACUAGUCCCAACUGCGACUACAGAACCACAUAGUGCCGAACAGUCGUCAACAGCACACAUACUUGGCAUAACAAAAUGCCUGGUAGAUCAGCUCAGCCUGAGUCGUUUGCCCCCUCCAGAGCCUGGACUUUUCUCUGGGGACCCGCUCAAAUUUCCGAGUUGGAAAAGUAGUUUUGAAACACUGAUCGAGCGCCGAGGAAUACCUCCAUCAGAACGCCUUCACUACCUCAAGAAAUACUUGGCAGGGUCUGCGAAGGAUGUUGUCGAAGGCUUCUUCCUGUUGUCAGAGGACGAUGCCUACCUCAAAGCGAAGGAACUUCUCCAACAGAGAUUUGGUGACCCCUUCAUUGUAGCGAGCGCCUUCCGGGAUAAGUUAGAUUCCUGGACUAAGAUUAACUCCAGAGAUGGUACAGGCCUUCGACGUUUUGCGGACUUCUUGCGACAGUGUGAAGCUGCGAUGCAAACCAUCCAAAGCUUGAAGAUUCUCAAUGAUGAAAGGGAGAACAGGAAAUUGCUCACUAAGAUACCGGAGUGGCUGGUUGCACGGUGGUCCCGAAAAGCAGCGGAAUCAAAGGAAAUCAAGAAGAGAUUCCCUCCUUUUAGUGAAUUUGUGAGCUUCAUAACAAGAGAGGCCAACAUCGCAUGUGACCCAGUCACAUCACUCCAGUCUGUGAAAGCAAUUGACAAGCCUGACGAAUCAAAUAGCUCCAGGACAAGCCGAGGAAAGGAAAGGGGUUUUGAGAAGAGAAGUUCAUUCUCUACAGAUGUGACCAAGGCAACUCGGGAGAGAGUGUCCAAACCACAGACAUGUUUCCUGUGCAACAAAGAAAAUCAUCACUUGAGUGAAUGCAAGAUAUUCCUUUCCAAGUCAUUGACAGAGAGGAAAGACUUUGUGAUGAAAAAUGGACUGUGCUUCGGCUGCCUAUGUCGAGGCCACAGAUCUAAGGAGUGCCGCUACAGGAAGACAUGCAGUACCUGUGCCAAGAAACAUCCCACUGCACUCCAUGGCGAUGUCAAGAAGCAAGAUAAACAAGAUGCACAGACGAAACCAGAGCAUCCACCAGUGGUGUCAACGAGCUCACAUACAAGAAUAAGCCAUCUCAAUAAAACAUCAGAAGGCAGCAAAGCAUCCAUGAUUGUUCCAGUGUGGAUAUCCCAUCAAGACAGCCCUGAAAGGGAACGCUUAAUCUACGCUCUGCUUGACACACAGUCGGACACAACCUUCAUUCUGGACAGCACAUGUAAAGCUAUCGGAGCUGAAGGACCUAAGGUACAGCUGUUGUUGUCCACUAUGUAUUCCAAGAACGAGCGAGUUGACUCUAAAAAGAUCGAAGGUCUACAAGUUCGUGGUCACGACAGUGAAGUUGGAAUAAGUCUCCCUGCAACAUUCACAAGAGAUGUCAUGCCGGCAAAUCGCUCCCAUAUCCCUACUACCAGAAUGGCUGACAAUUGGCCACAUCUGCAGAUGAUGGCGAACGAAUUGAUGCCAUUGUCAGACUGUGAAAUUGGGUUGCUGAUCGGCUACAACUGCGCCCGGGCACUUGCGCCUCGGGAAGUGAUACCCCCUACCGAUGAUGAGCCCUUUGCUCAGAGAACAGACCUGGGGUGGGGUAUCGUCGGCAUCGUGAACCCUGAUUCAGAUGACUGUGACAACAGCGUGGACCCCAUCGGCGUAAGCCACAGAGUCCUCUCAUGCGAAGCCCCAUAUGAUGAUUCUGACGAGUUAGCAGUACAGAGUCAUUCUCUGAUCUCCUUCAAAACUCGAGUCAAGGAAGUUAUUAGCCCUCUGGACAUAACAGAGAUGAUGAGCCUGGAUUUUUCAGAGCGACCUUCAGAGGACAAACCCUUUUCACAAGAUGACAAGAAGUUUCUUGCCAAGGUAAAGGAAGGAAUCCAUCAGCGGCCAGACGGCUACUAUGAAAUGCCUCUACCCUUUCGAGAGAGCAGCCCAGACCUUCCAAACAACAAGUCACUGGCUCUGCAUCGCUUGAACUAUCUCAAGUGCCGAUUCAGGAAGAAUCCAAGGUUCUAUGAUGACUACAACUCCUUUGUAGGUGAUAUCAUACAGAAAGGCCAUGCAGAACGAGUACCAGUUGGAGAUUGCAGCAGUAACAAGGCCGGGGUGUGGUACAUUCCCCACCACGGCAUCUAUCAUCCGAAAAAACCAGGAAAGAUCCGCGUGGUCUUCGACUGCAGCGCAACAUUCAAAGGAGUGUCUUUGAACGGCCAUCUUCUGCAGGGCCCAGAUAUGAUCAACAACCUUGUUGGCAUACUGUGCAGAUUCCGGCAAAAUCCCAUUGCAUUCAUGUGUGAUGUGGAGCAAAUGUUCCACCAGUUUAAGGUAAACUGCGAACACCGCGACUAUCUGAGGUUCCUUUGGUGGGAAGGUGGAGACUUCAAUACUGAUCCUUUGGAGUACAGAAUGUGUGUACACUUGUUUGGGGCCGUAUCGUCCCCUGGAUGUGCCAACUUUGGCUUGAAGUCCAUUGCAGAGGACUACUGGAGCGAGUGCGGAGAGCAGGCAGCCCAAUUUGUCCAACGAGACUUCUAUGUAGAUGAUGGGUUGAAGUCCGUCUGCUGUUCUAGCGAAGCCAUCAGUCUUAUCAACCAAACCAAGGAUCUAUGUUCACGAGGUGGGCUCCACCUUCACAAAUUCGUGUCCAACUCCCGGGAUGUGAUGGAGUGUAUCGAGCCAAAGCAGCGAGCAAAGGGCAUCCAGGACCUCGAUCUAAUUCACGAUACUCUCCCGGUUGAAAGAGCUUUAGGUGUCCAGUGGUGCGUAGAGUCUGACUGUUUCAAUUUCCGCAUCACUCUACAAGAUAAGCCCUUGACGAGACGAGGCAUCCUGUCGACAAUCGGAUCUAUCUAUGAUCCACUAGGCUUUGUUGCACCUGUGCUGCUGACGGGAAGAAGAAUCUUACAAGAUCUAUGUAGAAAUCAAGUCGACUGGGAUUCACCACUAGACGACGAGAUCAGGUCACGCUGGGAGUGCUGGAGAGGAAGUCUCCCUCGCCUCGAAGAGCUGAAGAUACCCCGAUGCUACCAGCCAGACACCUUUGGAAAUGUGGUGUCUAGAGAACUCCAUCACUUCUCAGAUGCCAGUACUGUUGGCUACGCACAGUGUACCUACCUUAGGCAGACUGAUGAUCAAAACAGAGUCCACUGUUCACUUGUGAUGGGAAAGAGUCGAGUGACCCCCUUGAAACUGACUACAAUACCAAGGCUCGAGCUCACGGCAGCAGUGGUGUCUGUCAGAGUGGGUUCCCUCCUUGCCAGAGAGCUGGACAUUGACGCAAGACACUUCUACUGGACUGAUAGCAAGAUCGUGCUGGGCUACAUCAACAACGAGACCCGAAGAUUCCAUGUCUUUGUGGCAAACAGAGCUCAGCAAAUAAGGAAUCAUUCAGACCCCAGCCAAUGGAGACAUGUUGCUUCCGAAGAAAAUCCAGCAGACGAAGGUUCAAGAGGCAUCACACCCUCGGAGCUUGCAACUUCCAAGUGGCUCAAGGGACCAGCAUUCCUGUGGGAAGAAAAUCUCCCCAUGGAACAAAACCCAGGCUACCAACUCAUUGAAGGCGAUCCAGAAGUUAGGGCCGUACAAGUCAUGGCGACACAGUCAACACUGCCUGCGAUAGAUCUGACACGCUUUUCAGACUGGCGCCAAGCUAAGCGAGUCAUUGCUACCUGCAUAGACUUCAAGAAAAGGCUUCAAAAUCGCCAUGAGAGGAUAUCUCCAGAGGUAACCCAGAAUGAUGGCCAACAGAUGGCAGCCAUCCCCGACAAAGAACGUCUCACUGUCCAAGACAUACAACAUGCUGAGAUCCAGAUACUCAAACUCACACAGAAGGAAGCAUUUCCUCGAGAAUUGCAUGCACUUUCAGAUCUCGAUGUAAAUGACAGUGACAUCGACAGACACACAGCGAGAAAACGGAAUCGUACCCUGAAGAAGACUAGCUCUCUCUUCAGACUUGAUCCCUUUAUAGAUGAGGAUGGCGUUAUGAGAGUUGGUGGGCGCAUCCAGAAAGCAGAAACAUCGUUUGGCUUCAAGCAUCCAGCAAUUCUUCCUCGUAAACACUGCGUCACAGAGAUGAUAGUCCGUUACUUUCAUCAGCAAGUCGCCCACCAAGGUCGAGGCAUGACAACACAAGCUGUAAGAUCUAAUGGCUUCUGGAUAAUCGGCUGCAGUUCAGCGGUGGCCAGUUUGAUUCAUCGAUGCGUAAAGUGUCGCAGAUUGUAUAGUAAACCUGGAGAGCAGAAAAUGGCCAAUCUCCCCGAAGAUAGACUCCAGCCUGCGCCGCCUUUCACUUACUGUGGCGUUGAUUACUUUGGGCCAUGGACCGUAAAGGAAGGUAGAAGGGAAGUGAAACGGUAUGGGGUGUUAUUCACCUGCAUGGCAUCAAGGGCAAUCCAUAUCGAAGUGGCCAACUCCCUCACCACGGAUGCUUUUAUCAAUGCUCUGCGUCGCUUCACCGCUGUGCGCGGGUCAGUAAGACUACUUAGAUCAGAUCAAGGCACCAACUUCGUCGGUGCAGAGUCAGAACUGAAGAGAGCUCUGGAAGAAAUUGACCAGACCAAAGUUCAACACUUCCUUGAAGGAAAGGGAUGUGACUACCCUACUACAAAGAUGAAUGCUCCUUCAGCAAGUCACGCAGGAGGGGUUUGGGAGAGACAAAUUAGAUCAGUGAGGAGAGUGCUCAAUGCCCUUGUGGAUCAGCAUGGGACGCAACUCGAUGACGAAUCACUAAGGACUCUUAUGUGUGAGUGUGCAGCAAUCGUCAAUGGUCGACCCUUGUCAGUUGACAACCUAAAUGACCCUAAAUCGCCAGAACCACUCACUCCCAACCAUUUGCUUACCUUGAAGUCCAGCGUCAUCCUCCCACCACCAGGUACAUUUCAAUGCGUUGAUGUGUACUCUAAGAAACGUUGGAGAAGGGUCCAACACCUGGUUAACGAGUUUUGGGCUCGAUGGAAGAAAGAGUAUCUACAUACCCUUCAAGUGCGUCAGAAAUGGACCAAGGAGAAACCGGAAGUGAAAGUGGGAGACGUCGUCAUAAUCAUGGAUGAUAACCUACCACGUAACCAAUGGCAGCUCGGUCGAGUGACAGAAGUCUUUCCGAGUACCGACGGGCACGUUCGAAGAGCAAAGCUCGCUGUAGCUGAUUCUACCUUGGAUGCCAAAGGCAAGAAGACCCGUCCAUCCAGAUUUCUCGAACGCCCAAUUCAGAAGCUCGUUGUCCUUCUGGAAAGCCAGUAGCAGGAAACCGGAAUCCCCACCGGGAAGCCUUUGAUUACCCUUAAUUUGUGGUAUAUGUAAUCUCAGUAACCCAGUACACUGUUCUUUAGAAAGUUUAGAUCCUGUUUAGUUAUUGAGACCUAUAAGGUGUUGGCACCGGUUAGUGCCCGUUUGAUUUAAACCUGCUAAUAUACAUGUGUUACUAGCUUAAAGGGUUCUUGCUGAUUGUAUUCUAAUUGUUGACAGUGUUCCCUUUUUGAUGUUAAAAUUAGAUUGCUAAUUUUGGGGAGCCAUGUAAAUGUAUCCUGAUGAAUACACUUUUUGGAAUAGCGCCCUCUGUUGAGGGACAGUGUACCGCAUAGCAACUAAAAACGCAAUGGACGACCUCAUGGUAGCUAAUCUUUUCGACACCGACUUUAAUCGUUUUGAAUCUGAAAUCUGCUGAUGAUACUGAUCAUUAAUCACAAUAGGAUGCAAGGAGUUUUCACGGAGCCAAUAAAUACAUGUAGAACCUGAUGAGGCUUUUGUCGAAACCCUUGCAUUUCUAUGACCUGCGACCUAUGACCCACACCUGUGCGAUUCCCCAGCUGUAGCACUAGAAUUGAGGAGCUAUACCACCUGAAGUGCUGC
RNAcentral lists this unclassified non-coding RNA (8047 nucleotides) under Patiria miniata (bat star). RNAcentral describes it as "uncharacterized LOC119738319, transcript variant X1". The record is from RNAcentral. Lineage: Eukaryota; Metazoa; Echinodermata; Asteroidea; Valvatida; Asterinidae.